Molecule: ribosomal RNA, 426 nt
Filed under: uncultured bacterium
Lineage: Bacteria
Description: bacterial SSU rRNA
Rfam family: Bacterial small subunit ribosomal RNA
Source: RNAcentral
UGGGGAAUUGUUCGCAAUGGACGAAAGUCUGACGACGCAACGCCGCGUGAAGGAUGAAGGUCUUCGGAUUGUAAACUUCUGUUGGGUGGGAAGAACUGUUUCCGGAUCAAUACCCCGGAGAUCUGACGGUACCACCUGAGGAAGCCCCGGCUAACUUCGUGCCAGCAGCCGCGGUAAUACGAAGGGGGCUAGCGUUGUUCGGAAUUACUGGGCGUAAAGGGCGUGUAGGCGGCCCGCUAAGUCAGGUGUGAAAGGCCUGGGCCCAACCCAGGAAAUGCGCCUGAGACUGACGGGCUUGAAUCCGGGAGAGGAUGGUGGAACUCCCAGUGUAGAGGUGAAAUUCGUAGAUAUUGGGAAGAACACCCGUGGCGAAGGCGGCCAUCUGGACCGGUAUUGACGCUAAGGCGCGACAGCGUGGGGAGCAAA